GUUUGAGAACCAAGUCAUGCCACUCAUCCUCCCAGGGUACAGUUAAAUCUAUCUUAGGGUGAAAAUGCCCCGAGCAACAAGGCAAAGCGUCGUGAAGCGGCUGUUGGGCACUGUGCUGGGGCUUUUGUGCACCCACGUUUACUGUGUGAGAGGGUUGCAGGUGGAGCAGAGUCCCCCAGCCUUGAUUCUCCAGGAAGGAGCCAGUUCCACGCUGUGGUGCAAUUUUUCCACCUCUGUGAACAACGUUCAGUGGUUUCGCCAAAAUCCUGGAGGUCGCCUUGUCAACCUGUUUUACGUUCCUUCAGGGACAAAGUGGAAUGGAAACUUAAAAGCUACGACAGACCCUAAGGAACGCAGCAGUUCAUUGCAUGUUUCCUCCUCCCAGACCACAGACUCGGCCAUUUACUUCUGUGCUGUGGAGCCACAGUGCUUCCCAGGCACCUGCAGCCUGAACACAAACCCUCAGCUGGGCCCAGCUCCUCCUCCAACCACACGCACAUCACAAGAUCACCACACAGCAUUUGCACAGCUCAAUAUUUCAAACCCACACUGGUAGGGCUUUAACCACAGAGGCUUUUUGCUCUUGAGUUUGGGAUGUUGGUCUUUGUCUUUCCUUCUUAAUCUACACCUCUUUAUGCACUAUAAACUUCUAACUUGGAACCAGUAGAGAAGCUGAUAAGAGGACAGAAUUAAUAUAAAUAUUUAAGCCACAGUAUGCUUGACUUCCAAAAGAGCAAAAAAACCCGAAAGGAAUAAAAAGAAAAGAAAAAGUACUCCAAUAGAGAUGUUGUUGCACACUGAUCCAGCUCAGGGGGUGUCUCAGGAAUGCUCAGGUCAGCCUCACCACAAUGUGCCCCAAGACAAUGGCAAAUACUUAUAUCUCAUCCUGCUAGUGCGGCAAAGAAAACAACAUAAUUUUUGCUAAAUGAUCAGAUAUUGAUAAAUCUGUGGGAAAAAAACUUUAAGAUGUAUAUUUCAUUCAACUAAGUCCCAGUCAUGUUCUUGAGGCUUGUUUGUCCUAGGAUAUGGUCAAUCCUGGAGAGGGUUCCCUCCAUGAAGAAAAAGUAUGUACUCUGUUCUUCAGGGUGGAUGUCUGUUAGGUCUACUUGGUUUAUAGUUUUGUU
Myotis daubentonii (Daubenton's bat) is the source of this 1124-nucleotide non-coding RNA. The record is from the annotation of a RefSeq genome assembly. Lineage: Eukaryota; Metazoa; Chordata; Mammalia; Chiroptera; Vespertilionidae.